UUCCGGUUGAUCCUGCCGGAGGUCAUUGCUAUUGGAGUCCGAUUUAGCCAUGCUAGUCGUACGAACUUAGAUUCGUGGCGAAUAGCUCAGUAACACGUGGCCAAACUACCCUGUUGAGAGCGAUAACCACGGGAAACUGAGGCUAAUAGCUCAUACGGCUCGAUGCCUGGAACUGGCUCGAGCUCGAAAUGCUCAGGCGCGACAGGAUGUGGCUGCGGCCGAUUAGGUUGACGGUGGGGUAACGGCCCACCGUGCCGAUAAUCGGUACGGGUUGUGAGAGCAAGAGCCCGGAGACGGAAUCUGAGACAAGAUUCCGGGCCCUACGGGGCGCAGCAGGCGCGAAACCUUUACACUGCACGACAGUGCGAUAAGGGGACUCCAAGUGCGAGGGCAUAUAGUCCUCGCUUUUGUGUACCGUAAGGUGGUACACGAAUAAGGGCUGGGCAAGACCGGUGCCAGCCGCCGCGGUAAUACCGGCAGCCCGAGUGAUGACCGCUAUUAUUGGGCCUAAAGCGUCCGUAGCCGGCCGUACAAGUCCGUCGGGAAAUCUACUCGCCCAACGAGUAGACGUCCGGCGGAAACUGUUCGGCUAGGGACCGGAAGAUCUGAGGGGUACGUCUGGGGUAGGAGUGAAAUCCCGUAAUCCUGGACGGACCACCGGUGGCGAAAGCGCCUCAGAAAGACGGAUCCGACGGUGAGGGACGAAAGCUCGGGUCACGAACCGGAUUAGAUACCCGGGUAGUCCGAGCCGUAAACGAUGUCUGCUAGGUGUGCCACAGGCUACGAGCCUGUGGUGUGCCGUAGGGAAGCCGUGAAGCAGACCGCCUGGGAAGUACGUCCGCAAGGAUGAAACUUAAAGGAAUUGGCGGGGGAGCAC
Molecule: ribosomal RNA, 877 nt
Filed under: uncultured archaeon
Lineage: Archaea
Description: bacterial SSU rRNA
Rfam family: Archaeal small subunit ribosomal RNA
Source: RNAcentral